RNAcentral lists this ribosomal RNA (760 nucleotides) under uncultured Prevotella sp. RNAcentral's name for it is "bacterial SSU rRNA". It matches the Rfam family "Bacterial small subunit ribosomal RNA", at positions 28 to 776 of the family's 1533-position model. The record is from RNAcentral. Lineage: Bacteria; Pseudomonadati; Bacteroidota; Bacteroidia; Bacteroidales; Prevotellaceae.
GAUGAACGCUGGCUACAGGCUUAACACAUGCAAGUCGAGGGGAAACGACGGGGAAGCUUGCUUCCUCGGGCGUCGACCGGCGCACGGGUGAGUAACGCGUAUCCAACCUGCCUCUGACUGAGGGAUAACCCGUCGAAAGUCGGCCUAAUACCUCAUGGCAUCGUCUGCGGGCAUCCAACGACGAUUAAAGAUUUCAUCGGUCAGGGAUGGGGAUGCGUCUGAUUAGUUAGUUGGUGGGGUAACGGCCCACCAAGGCGACGAUCAGUAGGGGUUCUGAGAGGAAGGUCCCCCACAUUGGAACUGAGACACGGUCCAAACUCCUACGGGAGGCAGCAGUGAGGAAUAUUGGUCAAUGGGCGAGAGCCUGAACCAGCCAAGUAGCGUGCAGGAUGACGGCCCUAUGGGUUGUAAACUGCUUUUAUGCGGGGAUAAAGUGAGGGACGUGUCCUUCAUUGCAGGUACCGCAUGAAUAAGGACCGGCUAAUUCCGUGCCAGCAGCCGCGGUAAUACGGAAGGUCCGGGCGUUAUCCGGAUUUAUUGGGUUUAAAGGGAGCGUAGGCCGUGGAUUAAGCGUGUUGUGAAAUGCAGGUGCUCAACGUCUGCACUGCAGCGCGAACUGGUCCACUUGAGUGUGCGCAACGCAGGCGGAAUUCGUCGUGUAGCGGUGAAAUGCUUAGAUAUGACGAAGAACUCCGAUUGCGAAGGCAGCUUGCGGGAGCACAACUGACGCUGAAGCUCGAAAGUGCGGGUAUCGAACAGG